Long non-coding RNA from Hemibagrus wyckioides, 5591 nucleotides. RefSeq lists it as uncharacterized. NCBI's taxonomy places the organism in Eukaryota, Metazoa, Chordata, Actinopteri, Siluriformes, Bagridae. The record is from RefSeq and is a predicted model, not a curated record. The transcript has 6 exons.
UUCAGAGUGAUAAUGAUUGCAGCAGUAAUGAACGGUUGUACGCGCUGAUUGUUUUGGUUCUUCAUGGUUUCUAAGGUUUAAAGGCAUGAGGGUCCGCUACAGUAAGAGCUUCAUCUUCGCUGGUUCAGAUGCUCGCUGCACGUGCUGACUCACGGUUUCACCGUGACGAUGGUCAAUGGACUGCAGGACUUCGGAAUCGGCGUGAUGGUCUACGGAGCUGAGACACGAACAAGAAUCUGAAAGCCUGCUCCAGACGGGAACAGAAGGUACAAAAGAAAAGGAUAUAAAAGGUUUUGAAAGCAUGCCUCCUGCUUGUGAGACCACACCCACUCAUUCUUUUGUUCUAGCAGACAUCCGAGUGGAGCAGAACGUGUUGAUAGCUGGGGAAUGAAUUUGGCCAGGUAUGUGACCAUUCCAAGGAAUCUUCUCGCUUCCUCUGUACUUUGUGGCAUGUUGUCUAUUGCUGAUGUUUUUUUUAGGUCUGGCCUAAUGCCUUCUUCAGACCGGACAUCUCCAACGAGAGUUAAGCUCUUAACUGCAAACUCACACUUCUCUUUGUUCAAUUUUCGAUUGGACUGUCCUGUUAGCUCCAGAACCUGCUUCAGUCAUGCAUCAUGUUCCUGCUGGUUGGAACCCCACACAAUUAUGUCAUCCAUCAUAGUCUAUACACCUGGUAGAUGCUCAAAGAUCAUGUGAAUAGUUUUGUGGUAAACUUCUAGUGCUGAGUGAAUGUCAUAAGGGAGACAGAGAAAACAAUAUCUGCCUUCAGGUGUAUUGAAGGUACACAGUUUUUAACUUGCCUCAUCAAGUUUCAUUUGCCAAACCCCAGAUGAUGCAUCCAGCUUGCAGAACCACUUUGAUCCAGUGAACUGAGACAUGAUUUCUUCUCUGGUUGGCAGUUUAAAAUGUUCACGUUUUAUGGCCCUGUUGAGAUCUCUUGGGUCAAGAUAUAUUCUCAAAGCUCCAUUUUUCUUGAGCACAAUAACAAGUGAGCUCACCCAGUCUGUUGGUUCAUCAACUGUCUUUAUAACCUUUAGCUUCUCCAUGUCAGCUAAUUCGUCUUUAAGUUUUCCUCUCAAAGCAAAUGGAACAUUUCUGCAUGCAUGUACAACUGGUGUUAUUGUGUCAUCAACACUUAUUUUAUCCUUCCCAGGCAGACAUCCUAGUCCUUCAAAAACAUCUUCAUACUCCUGCAUGAAUGAGGUUUCAUUUGUUUCAAUCUGUGAUGCCACUACAAACACCUUCCUUUUUUUUAAAAUUUUUAGCACGUGCUCAGUCCUAAAAUUGGCUGGACAUUCUUUUCCACAAUCAGCAUCUGUGACUUUACCUGCUGUCCCUUGUGUUUAAGAGUCACCAAGCAGCUCCCUUUGACAGGGACACUUGGAAAACAGGAAAACUUUCGUUUUCACUGGAUGUAUUUUGAUUUUGAGGGUUUUGUAGUCAGAAUUAGACAAGAGAUUGACUUGUGCUGCAGUAUCUAAUUUGAAGCCAAUUUUUACAUUUACGGUCAGUGGUACAAUCCAUUCAGCUUUGUCUGUUGUGCUAGUCUGUACAGAAUCAACAAAGAAUUUGUCAGGCUGCUCUUCAACUGAGACCAUUAUUAGGAGUCCCACAAACUAUUUUGUCCCUCACAAGUGAGUCUCUUAAAUCUCCAAAUUCACAAGUCUUACUCAGUCGAAAGAAAAACUUGUUCCUAUCAAAAGUGACAUUCUUACUUGGCACAAAGAAUUCCUCAAAGUUUGCCAUUAGAACAGUCAGUUAGAUUUGCGCCAUUGAGUUGAAGCUAUUACAAAUGUCCAGUGCAUCUUCACCUAUUACAUGCAAAAACAUGGAUGCCUUUAGCUUUUCAUCGCCUCUCCCUGCACCGCUAGCUGCUAGAUAGAUGUUGAAUCUUUGCUUGAAACGUUUCCAGUUAUCAGUGUAGGAGCAGCAUAGGUGAUGGUGGAUUUAAGCUCUCCAUGACGGGAAAAAAAACAAGACUGUGAGUCAGGCCUUCUCGUUCAACAUCAGUGCAUGACCUCACAAAAGCACUUCUACAGGAAUGGUCAAAAAUUCCCAUGAACACACUCCUAAACCUUGUGGAAAGCCUUCCCAGAAGAGUUGAAGCUGUUAUAGCUGCAAUGGGCAGGCCAGCUCCAUAUUAAACACUACAGACUAAGAAUGGGAUGUCAUUAAAUUUCAUGGACCUAAAAUUUCGCUAAAUUUUCUCGAUUUUUAUCUUAAAUCCAGUCCAAUAUUAUAACUUUUUAUAGUAUCUUUAUUAGCCGAUAGUAUCCCAUAAUAUUCUCAUUUCAAAUGCUUUUUAUAUCAUUAGUUAUAUUUGUUUUCCAGAACACCCGCUUAUAGCCGGUUAGCCCAUUAGCACGUUAGCCCGGCUACCACAAGUUGGCUUAUGUUUUUCACACCAAUUAUCUCUGUUGUGCUACUGCUCUUAAACACUAUGUCAGUUGUGGGUCUGCCUUUGAGUGCAGGUGAGGAUUUAUUCGAGCUGCACUCUGUGGACUUGGAGCUGGAGGCCAUGCAGAAGCAGAUCCACAACCUAUAAAUGAAGCUAGCCCAGCUGUGAGAUCGGAACGCCGCGCUGGAAUCAUCCCGGAUUGACGCUCACCUGUCCCAGGUAAAUCCGUGGCGUGAAACAAACACUCCCACAACCUCAACUCCGUGUUCUUCUCUGCCCAGGCCCAACGCACCAAGGACGCGGCCCGCCCAGGUUUCCUUCACUCCGGUCCCUGGGUACCACGCAGCCUGGAUGCAGCAGCAGCGGAAGACACGAGCCAAGCCCUGGGCGAGGACCUCUCCCCCUCCCCACCCGUUUUCGAGAUCUCAACCCGCAACCACUUCGCUCCCCUUUGCGAGACGGAGUGCGAUGUGGUGAUCAUCGGAGACUCCACACAUCCGUGCUACUGCGGCUAAAGGUAAGGUGCGCACUCGCUGUUUUCCUGGUACUCGUGUUGUUGACGUCACUGCACAGGUACAGCGAUCCUGAAUAAGAACAUCGGAGCUGUGGUCCUCCAUGCUGGCAUGAACGACAUCAGGCUGAGGCAGACGGAGAUCCUGAAGAAGGACUUCAGGAGCCGAUUCCGACUAAAAAAGCCAUCCCGAGGCAUACAGAGAUUGUGCCAGCUCCAGUGGCAUCCAGAGAUGGACCAGCUCCAGCCGGGUUCUGCUUUGUGAGGAUUCGGGUAUUCAAAGCAACACUGCCAACCUUAUGUGGACGACAACAACCUCCUUAUUAUUUUACAUAACAUUCUACACAUGCUGUAUCUGCAUCACACAAUUGACUAUACAUAAAUGCACAAAGGACAUUGUUCAUAUCACACUCUCUGGUGUUUACAAUAAUUUAUAAUCACACUCUCCACUGUCACCCAAAUGAGGAUGGGUUCCCUUUUGAGUCUGGUUCCUCUCAAGGUUUCUUCCUCAUACCAUCUAAGGGACUUUUUCCUUGCCACAGUCACCUCAGGCUUGCUCACUUGAGAUAACAUCUAGGACUGUUUGCCUGUUUAUAUGUUUGUUGUUUCUUAUGUAAAGCUGCUUUGAUGGAACGCUCUUUGUUAAAAGUGCUAUAAAAAUAAAAUUGAAUUGAUUUGAAUGUGCAUGUAAAGGCAGACGUCCCAAAACUUUUGGCUAUAAAGUCGAUAUUACUAUUUGCACAUACUGAACACUUGUAAAUAAAUUACAGUGUUUUCUCUAAGUCAACCUUUAGGGACAUAAUAAUCACAUUGGACGAAGGCGUAUUUGGAAGGAGAACUGCUGGAUGCAGGAGGAUUUGGCUGUGUGUUUGCUGGACUACGCAAAGAAGACGGAUUGCCAGUUGCAAUCAAGUACGUCUCCAAAAAGAUGCCAUAUGAAAAACUGCAGCUUACAGGAUAUGGAUGGCUGCCCAUUGAGAUAGCUUUGAAGAUCCUUGCAAACACAGAACCUUGCUCAAAAAUCCAGAAGAUUCUGGACUGGCACGAAGAGGCAAAGUGAUAUAUCGUACUCCUGGAACAGCCUGAACCAUGUGUGGACCUCGAGGAACUCUCCGGCAAGCAAGGUGGAUGUUUGACUGAGGUCGAGGCUCGCAAUGUGAUGUUUCAGCUGAUGGAAGCAUUGAAGCAUUGCAAGAGCCAGGGGAUACUGCAUCGUGAUGUCAAGCCAGAAAACAUUCUGAUUCAGACAGACACGUUUCAAGUCAAGCUGUUUGACUUGAAAGAGACCUCGUCAAAGACCCUUACAGUUACUUUGCAGGUGUCUGAUGUCUAAAUCUAAUGUAUCUUUGUUAACACUUGAAUAUGCCCCUCCUGCUCCCCGAAAGUCUGUCUCAAGGCAAGGAACUAUACUCAAUUUAAUACUUUUGAAAAAGUCAAGAACUUUGAGUCUGUAUCUUUGUCCCGCUGAACAGUAACACGUCGAAUUUCUGACUUUCAAUGUCAAAUCUAAGAAAAGCUGAAACUUGCAAUAAACAAUUGCAAAUACUGGCACAGACGUGAUAGAUGCCAGUCAGCUCCUGAUCUUUGCAAGAACGAUUACAGAGAACUUUGAUGUUCAAGAGGAGCUGUUAAAGCUUGCUUCAUUACAUGACACCACUUUUUCAGAACUGACACUGAAAAGGGAAAUUAAAAAGUUUUUGGAUUUAGGGUCUCUAGCUUAUAUAAUCAAUGAGAAAAUGAAUCUCAAAUAGCAAGCAUUCUGUUAUUUAGAAAUGAGUUUGUAUUGUGAUUUUCCUUUUGAAUUACCAAAGACCUGAGGAAUUACUGUACAAUGUCUGUUUAAUCAUUGCCUCUCAGUCCUAUGUAGACGUUGUGUUGGAAUGUAAUGUUAAGCUCCAACUCUUCUGCAUUCACGCGUCUCCUGAACAUCUCCCGAUCAGCUACCGGCUCUUUGCGUGUUCGCUCGGCCGAGGUGGAGGGUCAGCGCGCACACAGGAGCAGCAGUGGAGUGAAGUUCUGUGUUGUGUCCGAUCGUCAGUCAAGAGGAGCUGAACAUGCCUUAGAGUUCUUGUACUUGUUGGAUUCUGUAUCACAAGUCAGAGUCUGCUGUUGUGUGGACCACCUGUCUGGCAUUAAACUGACACCAAAACCAGCACAUGUUCACAUGUUCAUAAUUAUACCUGGCUGCUUGAUCUGAAAUUUUUUACAUCACUUAAGUAUGUGGUGGUGUAUUCAUCAAGUGCAAAUGACAGAAAUUUCAAGAAAAUUUUCAUGAUGUACCAAGUUUUUUUUUUUCUUUUUCCACUCUGUUUCCUUCACCUGUCUGUCUUGUCAUUGAGAACUUUGAAAGGGCUCAAAGUUGAAUGUAAUCCACCAUCUAAUUGUUCAUACUAAUUUUCAGGAUCAAAUAUAUAUAUAUAUAUAUAUAUAUAAUCAUUGUUUACAACCUGUGUCUUGUGUUGUGUACCACACAAAUGGGCAGAUUAGUGCAGUUAGUGGACAGUAAUAACCGCUUAAUAUUUUAACAUGGUGUACAGGAUUAACAUAAGUAAAGUUGUCUUUAUUUGUCACAUGUACAUUACUGCACAGUGAAAUUCAUUCUUCGCGUAUCCCAUCCUUGGGGGUUGGGGUCAGAGCACAGGGUCAGCCAUGCUGCAGCACCCCUGAUGCAGCAGGGUGGGU